Molecule: ribosomal RNA, 458 nt
Filed under: uncultured bacterium
Lineage: Bacteria
Description: partial 16S ribosomal RNA
Rfam family: Bacterial small subunit ribosomal RNA
Source: RNAcentral
CCUACGGGAGGCUGCAGUGGGGAAUAUUGCACAAUGGGGGAAACCCUGAUGCAGCGACGCCGCGUGAGUGAAGAAGUAAUUCGUUACGUAAAGCUCUAUCAGCAGGGAAGAAACACUGACCUUACGGUCAGCAGACGGUACCUGAGUAAGAAGCCCCGGCUAACUACGUGCCAGCAGCCGCGGUCAUACGUAGGGGGCAAGCGUUCUCCGGAGUUACUGGGUGUAAAGGGAGCGUAGACGGUGCGACAAGACUGGAGGGAAAUGCCGCAGCUUAACUGCGGAACUGCUUUGGAAACGGGCGAACUAGAGUGCGGGAGAGGUAAGCGGAAUUCCUAGUGUAGCGGUGAAAUGCGUAGAUAUUAGGAGGAACAUCGGUGGCGAAGGCGGCUUACUGGACCGUAACUGACGUUGAGGCUCGAAAGCGUGGGGAGCAAACAGGAUUAGAUACCCGUGUAGUC